This 97-nucleotide ribosomal RNA is filed under the name Salmonella enterica subsp. enterica serovar Enteritidis. The record is from RNAcentral. Lineage: Bacteria; Pseudomonadati; Pseudomonadota; Gammaproteobacteria; Enterobacterales; Enterobacteriaceae.
UGGGCCCACCUGACCCCAUGCCGAACUCAGAAGUGAAACGCCGUAGCGCCGAUGGUAGUGUGGGGUCUCCCCAUGCGAGAGUAGGGAACUGCCAGGC